CCCUUAGAUGUUCUGGGCCGCACGCGCGCUACACUGAUGCAUUCAACGAGCCUAUCCUUGACCGACAGGUCCGGGUAAUCUUUGAAUCUGCAUCGUGACGGGGAUAGAUUAUUGCAAUUAUUAAUCUUCAACGAGGAAUGCCUAGUAGGCGCAAGUCAUCAGCUUGCGUCGAUUACGUCCCUGCCCUUUGUACACACCGCCCGUCGCUCCUACCGAUUGGGUGUGCUGGUGAAAUGUUCGGAUCGGCCGUUUGUCGCGGUUUCCGCGUCAUGUGGCUGAGAAGUUCAUUAAACCCUCCCGCCUAGAGGAAGGAGAAGUCGUAACA
RNAcentral lists this ribosomal RNA (325 nucleotides) under uncultured eukaryote. RNAcentral describes it as "partial 18S ribosomal RNA". It matches the Rfam family "Eukaryotic small subunit ribosomal RNA", at positions 1470 to 1796 of the family's 1831-position model. The record is from RNAcentral.